Molecule: long non-coding RNA, 600 nt
Filed under: Elaeis guineensis (African oil palm)
Lineage: Eukaryota; Viridiplantae; Streptophyta; Magnoliopsida; Arecales; Arecaceae
Description: long non-coding RNA (EGUI_LNC012753)
Source: RNAcentral
GUGAUUAAUUGUUUAAAUUCAUGUAAACAUGGGCUAAAUGAACCAAAUGAUAGAUAUAUAUUAAGGCCAUUUGCUUGAGAAAUUAAACAACCCUGGGAAAUUUUUCCUUGCGCUAUAUCUUUUGAUUUAAGAGGACUACAUGAACGUGGCAUCUUUUUCUUUUUUUUGCAUUACAACAACAGCAACUUAAGGUCUAAUGGAGACUUCCUUUGCUUCAGCAUGAAGAGUGUGAGCAAGGGACGUUGCCGGAAGGUGUUACACCAACAUCACCGUCGAUCCAACUCUACUUACCAAAUUCGCCAGAAAAUCAGCUGCUUGCUUUCUUUAUCUGAGGAUCUGAUUACAUGUAAAAUUUGGAACCAUGGGCAGAAAUGAACAAACCCUUCCCCCAUAUAGAUGUUGCAUUGAUUUGAUCCCGUCGAUUCAUGUGUAAUAGAAUCACCUUCUAGCACAAUUCUAAUAGCUUGGAGGAGAAACACCAUGGCCUUAAUUUCACACCAUGUAACUUUUAACUCUACAUUUAGAAUGGAUGUCGGAGGCAAUGGUGAUGCAGUUGCAUAAAAGAGCCCUCCCCUAUUCAUCUCGAAUUACAAACUUUGC